RNAcentral lists this ribosomal RNA (253 nucleotides) under uncultured bacterium. RNAcentral describes it as "partial 16S ribosomal RNA". It matches the Rfam family "Bacterial small subunit ribosomal RNA", at positions 524 to 776 of the family's 1533-position model. The record is from RNAcentral.
UACGUAGGGAGCAAGCGUUGUCCGGAAUCAUUGGGCGUAAAGCGCGCGUAGGCGGCCUUGUAAGUCCGUUGUGAAAGUCAAAGGCUCAACCUUUGAAAGCCGAUGGAUACUGUGAGGCUAGAGUCCGGAAGAGGCGAGUGGAAUUCCUGGUGUAGCGGUGGAAUGCGCAGAUAUCAGGAGGAACACCAAUAGCGAAGGCAGCUCGCUGGGACGGUACUGACGCUCAGGCGCGAAAGCGUGGGGAGCGAACAGG